GGGGAAUAUUGCACAAUGGGCGCAAGCCUGAUGCAGCCAUGCCGCGUGUAUGAAGAAGGCCUUCGGGUUGUAAAGUACUUUCAGCGGGGAGGAAGGGAGUAAAGUUAAUACCUUUGCUCAUUGACGUUACCCGCAGAAGAAGCACCGGCUAACUCCGUGCCAGCAGCCGCGGUAAUACGGAGGGUGCAAGCGUUAAUCGGAAUAACUGGGCGUAAAGCGCACGCAGGCGGUUGGAUAAGCGAGAUGUGAAAGCCCCGGGCUCAACCUGGGAACUGCAUUUCGAACUGUCCGACUAGAGUCUUGUAGAGGGGGGUAGAAUUCCAGGUGUAGCGGUGAGAUGCGUAGAGAUCUGGAGGAAUACCGGUGGCGAAGGCGGCCCCCUGGACAAAGACUGACGCUCAGGUGCGAAAGCGUGGGGAGCAAAC
This 425-nucleotide ribosomal RNA is filed under the name uncultured bacterium. RNAcentral describes it as "bacterial SSU rRNA". It matches the Rfam family "Bacterial small subunit ribosomal RNA", at positions 356 to 773 of the family's 1533-position model. The record is from RNAcentral.